UUGUCUCUAAAGACAAUUGAGAAAAAAAAUCUAAAGCGCAGCUUGGAGAAAAAGGCGAUCUUUGCAUUCUCCCUCUCCGGUGGCCGGCAAGCUUUGUCGGUGCCGUGAGAAGGCUAUUAGGGUAUCUAUGUUGUGUCUCUAGACUGAGUUGAAGCUAUCGACAUCUUUGGAGAUUUUUGGAUUAAGAUGUGAUUUCAAUUUCACUUUGUAGUUUGCUUGGGUUGCUUAUCCAGUUUUGUAGCUUUUUCUGGUGUGUGGUGUAGGGUAUGCCGGCUCUGAUGUAGGGUGGUACUUCUUCCAUUGGAUCUAGGUAGGCAGAUAACUCAGUUAGUUCAUAGGUGUUUGUCAGGCUUAUCUUUUCUCUCGUCUCUGUCUUGGUAUGUCGAUCGGUCUCAGAUUCGGGUAGUGGUCUUAGCUUCUCUCUUUGGUCUAAAUCCAUCACCUCCCGAUAUAAGUUUGGUUCUACAACAAGGUAGCAUGUUGUGGUGUGAUCUUGUGUAGCUUCACAUGAGUCUGCUCCGUGGAGGCAAUUCAAGGGAGUGUAGUGGAUUUUGUUUAAGGUAUUCAAAUUUACCUUCGAUAACUCUCUGAGGAUCGUUAGAUGGUUUCCUUUUCUUGAGUCAUCUGUGGAUUCUAGAAGUGGUUUUGCUUCAUCCUUGGUUGAUGUAGCUGAUUUUCCUGGUUCAAGGCACUUCCUUCUUUUGUCUCAGCCAAAUUCUCUCAAAAUUUGAUACCAAUCCUCUGUUUCUAUGGUUGUAUCUAUUGAAGAAGUUUAAUGUUCUUCAGCACGCUAGUGUUUGGUUAGUCCUUCGACUGUUUGGAAAAUGGCGUUGCUCGUGUUCUUGGGCAGUGAUGUUCUGCUCUGGUUUGUGGAGUUGCUGUUUUUAUCUAAGGCAUCCAGUUUCUUAUCUCCGACGUUCUUUGGUGUUGCGAAGUUGUGAUGUCCCUUGGUUUGAAAUCAACUGGUUCUCCAGAUUACUUGGUAAGGGACAUUGGAUCUGUGUCUCAAUUGCAUGUCUUUGAGUAGUUAGUUUCUAACGUCUUCUUUGGCUGCCCGGAUUGAAGAAGUUUUUCUCUUGUGGCGUCUUGUUUGUGUUGAUGAAUGUGUUGUGGUUUGUUCGUGGUUCCAGUGUUUCACCGUUCUAAGAGAUCUUCUUCCAACUCCAAUAAUUUAGUCGUGUAUCGCUUUUUCAUUCAUCUCUUUUUCCGGCGCUGUUCAGCUCCACCCUUGUUGCAGACUAUCAUGGUCCUCUAAUGUACCUAUCUGUAACCUUGUCUCCUUCAUUAAGUUUUGUUUAGUUGUUCUUUUAAAUGUUUGUUUAUAAAGUUUGUAUCUAGGAGAGGUUACUCUUACCUUACCGGCUUAUGGUUCCGGAAAAGUUGUAUACCUUUGCCAGCUCUGUGUAA
Molecule: long non-coding RNA, 1407 nt
Organism: Brassica oleracea var. oleracea
Lineage: Eukaryota; Viridiplantae; Streptophyta; Magnoliopsida; Brassicales; Brassicaceae
Exons: 2
Source: RefSeq, a predicted model, not a curated record